Long non-coding RNA from Chrysolophus pictus (golden pheasant), 1646 nucleotides. The record is from Ensembl. NCBI's taxonomy places the organism in Eukaryota, Metazoa, Chordata, Aves, Galliformes, Phasianidae.
CAGGGUAAUGCUGUGCAAUAGGAGCAAUGCUGGCACUGUGGACCCCCCCGCCUCCUUGCACCCUGCUCCCAAAUCCCCCCACCACGCACCACAGCUCCACAGCCUGGGGGGGAGGGGAGUCAGCCCCAUAGAGCUGCUGGGGGGGGGGGUUCCCAGGGGAUGCUUUUUUGGGGGGGAAAGGCCAGUGGAUGCUUUCUUGGGGGAGAAAGUGCCUAUCAAGGAGUGUCAGCUCCGGAUUUGCUUAAUUGUGAGCUGGUGGAGUUUAAAGAAACACUUUCUGGCAGGCUGCCACACCGCAAACUGCUUGGUAUAAUUUUAUUAUUAAGGGAGGAGAGAAAAAAGGGGAGAGAGGGAAGGGGGAAGGAAGGCAGCGGCGGAGCUCUGCACAGCGCUGGGAAAUGUCCCCAGGGGACAUGGAGGGAGAAGGGCUCUUUGCAGCAAAUCGCCGCGUCUCUCCUUGCCCCUGCACGCUGCCAGCUGGCAAGAGAGGGCUUUGCAAAAAGAAAGGGAUUAAAAACUAAAAUACAAGCAACCCCGAGACUCGCUGCAAAGCAGAUGCUCCACCUGAGCUUCCCUGGGCAAUGCCUCCUGCAAAGCAAACACGCUCCAGAGACAAAAUUCAUGGCAGGGCUGAGCGUGCAGCGAGGGCGGCCGCGUGCUUAUCGCUUCCCCCACCAACAGGAUUGACAUCAACCUUGAGGCGCUCACAGGAGAGAGGAAAACAAGUCGAUGGCUGCACAGGAAAUAUGGCUGAGGUUAAAGAAGGACCUGGCCUGCCCCGCGCUGCAGACAAAAGCAAGGACAGCCAACGGGAGCCGUGCCGGGGGGGUAACAGACAGAUCUUCCCCAGCGCUGCACUGCCCUUCAGACAACCCUUCAGACAGCCCUAUGCCAAUCCUUCAGCCUCAAACCUUUAGCCCCAACCCUUCAGCCUCAAACCUGCAUCCCCAACCCUUCAGCCAAUCCUAAGCCAUCCUUCAGCCUCACUGCUUCAGCUCCAACCCGUCAGCCAACCCUAUGCCAAUCCUUCAAACUCAAACCUUCAGCCCCAACCCUUCAACCAACCCUUCAGCCCCAACCAAGUGACCCACGUGGAUGAAUCCCAGUGUUUGGGUUAUUUCUGCUUUUUGCCGGGUGCUCCCAAUUCCAUCCCAAUGCCUUCCUGGCACCACCCCAAUCCUACCUGGGUCCCAUCCAGGUCCCAUCCCAAUCCCACCAUGGUCCCACUUGGGAUCCAAACUGAUCCCACUCUGGUUCCUUCCCUGCCCUGUCCUGGUCCCAUCCGAGUGCCACUGCAGUCCCAUCCUGGCCCCAUUCCUGUCCCACCCCUGCCUCACCCUACCCCAAUCCCGAUCCCAGCCCCAUCCCCAUUGCCACGUGCCACAUCCAUCCACCAGGGCCACCUCCUGCAAGUGGCCAACAGCUCUGUAAGGAAGCACAAUGCUCCAGCACUUCCCUGAGUGACAGUGAGCAGCACCCAGCACUGAUGCUUUUCUUGUCUUUAUGGGAUGGGGCAGAAGAUGGUUCUGCCAGGAGCCCCCCAGGCUGCUCGUAGGGUGGCCCCACUGCCUUCACCCCUCUGACAGGGGGGAAAAUAGAGAAAAGAGGGGUAAAAAGAAAUAAAAAAAAAUUGACAUUUGAUGUCA